ACUUAAGCUCAGCUGAAGCUUCCCAUGUCCUCUGCUGCUCCUGCUCCUCGAGCAUCCAAGCACUUCCUGCCCAUCGACCGGAUCUCGUCGCGCUGCCGUGCAGCUUCUACUCGGGCGUGCGCACUCACGCAUCUCACCCCAUCCCGGCUGGCCGCCACCCGCGUGCGCCUGCUGAAUCAGCAUCCCCGGCUCGGCUGACUGCCGCCGUGGUCCGCCUGCUGAAUCAGCAUCCCCAGCCCGGCUGGCCGCCGUCGUGGUCCGCCUGCUCGACCUAGUCGCACAUCAGUUCGGUGGGGACGGGAUCCUCCGCGGCGCCGUCCUUGCUGGUCUGAGAUGCGGAGCCUAGCGGGAGCAUGUGGGACGGCCACGCAAGAGGUUGGCGUGUCCUUGGCGGGUGCUCGGGCUUGUGGAGGAGGGGCCGAGUAUCGAGGGGAAGGACGUCGAGAAUCAGCAUCAGCGCCAUCAAUUUGGUAGUCAGAGAGGAAGAAGAAAGGGACUGCAGCUCAUACAUGCAGUAUUAUCUCCGCAUACACACAGAUUGUGGUCACUAGUCAUGGUUUCCUGUACAAGUUCUAAAACGGUACAGUAGGAGAAUUUGCCGGUGAUUCAUCAUGAAGAACAGAGUGCGAUUUCUUACUUUUGGUGACUGAGAAUCAUCUGGAGCAUCCUGGUUCCCCGGACCACUUCUUGGAGAAGCCACCGGGGACGUGAGACUCGAAGAAGACAUCAGGGACGGGAUUCCUUGGCUGCCCAAUUUAAGAGGAGAAUUUACCUGUGCUUCCCUGGUCAAGCCGCCAUUGAUUGUUCUGCCGAGGUUGUAGGUCUCUCUCGCCUCCAGGAGUAUAUUUUGGCGCGCUUUUCUGCAUAUGCGGAUCUGUUUCGCGGGCAUUUUGUGGAUAUGUUUCACAAGCGAUUAGUUUUUUUCACUUGAUUUU
Molecule: long non-coding RNA, 935 nt
Organism: Aegilops tauschii subsp. strangulata
Lineage: Eukaryota; Viridiplantae; Streptophyta; Magnoliopsida; Poales; Poaceae
Source: RefSeq, a predicted model, not a curated record